RNAcentral lists this ribosomal RNA (361 nucleotides) under uncultured bacterium. RNAcentral's name for it is "partial 16S ribosomal RNA". It matches the Rfam family "Bacterial small subunit ribosomal RNA", at positions 338 to 696 of the family's 1533-position model. The record is from RNAcentral.
CCUACGGGCGGCAGCAGUGAGGAAUAUUGGUCAAUGGACGAGAGUCUGAACCAGCCAAGUAGCGUGAAGGAUGACUGCCCUAUGGGUUGUAAACUUCUUUUAUAAAGGAAUAAAACGAGGCACGUAUACCUUUUUGCAUGUACUUUAUGAAUAAGGAUCGGCUAACUCCGUGCCAGCAGCCGCGGUAAGACGGAGGAUCCGAGCGUUAUCCGGAUUUAUUGGGUUUAAAGGGAGCGUUGAUGGGUCGUUAAGUCAGUUGUGAAAGUGUGCAGCUCAACCGUAAAAUUGCAAUUGAUAAGGGCAGUCCUGAGGACAGUUGGGGGUGGCGGAAGUUGUGGUGGAGCGGUUAAAUGCUUAGAUA